GAUGAACGCUGGCGGCGUGCCUAAUACAUGCAAGUCGAGCGAACGGACGAGAAGCUUGCUUCUCUGAUGUUAGCGGCGGACGGGUGAGUAACACGUGGAUAACCUACCUAUAAGACUGGGAUAACUUCGGGAAACCGGAGCUAAUACCGGAUAAUAUUUUGAACCGCAUGGUUCAAAAGUGAAAGACGGUCUGGCUGUCACUUAUAGAUGGAUCCGCGCUGCAUUAGCUAGUUGGUAAGGUAACGGCUUACCAAGGCAACGAUGCAUAGCCGACCUGAGAGGGUGAUCGGCCACACUGGAACUGAGACACGGUCCAGACUCCUACGGGAGGCAGCAGUAGGGAAUCUUCCGCAAUGGGCGAAAGCCUGACGGAGCAACGCCGCGUGAGUGAUGAAGGUCUUCGGAUCGUAAAGCUCUGUUAUUAGGGAAGAACAUAUGUGUAAGUAACUGUGCACAUCUUGACGGUACCUAAUCAGAAAGCCACGGCUAACUACGUG
RNAcentral lists this ribosomal RNA (497 nucleotides) under uncultured bacterium. RNAcentral's name for it is "partial 16S ribosomal RNA". It matches the Rfam family "Bacterial small subunit ribosomal RNA", at positions 28 to 507 of the family's 1533-position model. The record is from RNAcentral.